RNAcentral lists this ribosomal RNA (253 nucleotides) under uncultured bacterium. RNAcentral describes it as "partial 16S ribosomal RNA". It matches the Rfam family "Bacterial small subunit ribosomal RNA", at positions 524 to 776 of the family's 1533-position model. The record is from RNAcentral.
UACAGAGGGUGCAAGCGUUAAUCGGAAUUACUGGGCGUAAAGCGUGCGCAGACGGUUGCGUAAGUCAGAUGUGAAAGCCCCGGGCUCAACCUGGGAAUGGCAUUCGGGACUGCAAGGCUGGAGUGCGGCAGAGGAGACUGGAAUUCCUGGUGUAGCAGUGAAAUGCGUAGAUAUCAGGAGGAACACCGAUGGCGAAGGCAGGUCUCUGGGCUGACACUGACGCUCAUGCACGAAAGCGUGGGGAGCAAACAGG